UUUCGGGUGACUUUGGCCCGCCAGGGUGACUUUGGCUCAUUUUGGGAAAAAUAUAUUUUAGCAACUAGGGCAAUUGUACAAUAAAUUAUCAAGUAAAUUUCAUUAUACCGCACCAUCAGUACCAUAUGAACUGUUUGAAAAUUUUAAUAAAUUAUGCUAAUACUUGUUAUGUUACGAAAAAAACGAAUUUCUAAAAUUUGGUCAUUCCACAUAAGAUUUUUUGACUGCAAAAAUUGGUUGGCAACCAAUAAUACUUCCAAGAGUAAGAUUAAUUGCAUAGUGGCAUAUUGAAAAUCUGUGAAUUCUUAACCUCCGUGCAUCGUUAUUUCAGUCUAAACAUAGACAGUAAGACGGUCGGAUAUUAUUUUGCAAGGUGCUACAAAAUUUAACGGUUUUCGGGUGACUUUGUCCCAGUUUGUUGAUUGUUGGAUUUUGGUCAUUGGUUGCUUCUAUAUUAAAUUAAAAUACUUCGUCUAAUUCUUCAUUUAGUGAGAGCUAUAGGGAUAAUGAAGAUCUACAUAAGCUUUCCAUUGGAGUUGGAGACUUCGUAAUUGUAUCUGACUACUUUGACAGCUUUCCAGGAAAAUUCGAUGGAUUUGUAAGAGGUAGUAAUAACUGUUACGGUUGGGUGCAAGUAAUGGUACUGGGUGAAAGAAGUUUAUGGCAAUGGCCCGAAGUCUCCGUAAGAAAAUCCUACCACUUGGCUAAUGUUGAUUUCACUGAGCCAUUGGAACUUGUAGAUAACCGAUAUUUCUUUCCAGAUUUAAAAAAAAGCUUGUAAAUCGUUUUAUUGUUCAUUUUUUGUUAAGAAAUGAUGUUUUUUGUUAACCUAGGGUCCUAUGUAAAGUUUCAUGUUAGUUUUAGUUUUUCUUUGUUUGAAAUUUAAAUAAAUUUUUUUCACCUAACAAAA
Molecule: long non-coding RNA, 910 nt
Filed under: Diabrotica virgifera virgifera (western corn rootworm)
Lineage: Eukaryota; Metazoa; Arthropoda; Insecta; Coleoptera; Chrysomelidae
Description: uncharacterized LOC114326857
Source: RNAcentral